GAGCUUGAUCGUGGCUCAGGACGAACGCUGGCGGCGCGCCUAACACAUGCAAGUCGAACGAAGCGCCUUGGACAGAUUCUUCGGAUGAAGUUUUUGGUGACUGAGUGGCGGACAGGUGAGUAACGCGUGGGUAACCUGCCUCAUACAGGGGGAUAACAGUUAGAAAUGGCUGCUAAUACCGCAUAAGCGCACGGUACUGCAUGGUACAGUGUGAAAAACUCCGGUGGUAUGAGAUGGACCCGCGUUGGAUUAGCUAGUUGGCAGGGUAACGGCCUACCAAGGCGACGAUCC
RNAcentral lists this ribosomal RNA (291 nucleotides) under uncultured bacterium. RNAcentral's name for it is "partial 16S ribosomal RNA". It matches the Rfam family "Bacterial small subunit ribosomal RNA", at positions 9 to 282 of the family's 1533-position model. The record is from RNAcentral.